RNAcentral lists this ribosomal RNA (387 nucleotides) under Acanthamoeba sp. RNAcentral describes it as "SSU rRNA". It matches the Rfam family "Eukaryotic small subunit ribosomal RNA", at positions 770 to 1090 of the family's 1831-position model. The record is from RNAcentral. Lineage: Eukaryota; Discosea; Longamoebia; Acanthamoebidae.
AGUGUUCAAAGCGGGCAGAUAUUUUUCCUGCCACCGAAUACAUUAGCAUGGGAUAAUGGAAUAGGACCCUGACCUCCUAUUUUCAGUUGGUUUUGUUUACAGCGAGGUUAUAUCAGGGUAAUGAUUAAUAGGGAUAGUUGGGGGCAUUAAUAUUUAAUUGUCAGAGGUGAAAUUCUUGGAUUUAUGAAAGAUUAACUUCUGCGAAAGCGUUUGCCAAGGAUGUUUUCAUUAAUCAAGAACGAAAGUUAGGGGAUCGAAGACGAUCAGAUACCGUCGUAGUCUUAACCAUAAACGAUGCCGACCAGCGAUUAGGAGACGUUGAAUACAAAACACCGCCGUUAAUCCUUUCGGGGGUUAAUGGUUGGUGAAUGACUCCCUAGCAGCUUG